CGGACGGGUGAGUAAUGUAUGGGGAUCUGCCUGAUGGCGGGGGAUAACUACUGGAACGGUAGCUAAUACCGCAUAAUGUCUACGGACCAAAGCGGGGGACCUCCGGGCCUCGCGCCAUCAGAUGAACCCAUAUGGGAUUAGCUUGUAGGUAAGGUAACGGCUUACCUAGGCGACGAUCCCUAGCUGGUCUGAGAGGAUGAUCAGCCACACUGGGACUGAGACACGGCCCAG
This 231-nucleotide ribosomal RNA is filed under the name uncultured bacterium. Its description in RNAcentral is "partial 16S ribosomal RNA". It matches the Rfam family "Bacterial small subunit ribosomal RNA", at positions 99 to 334 of the family's 1533-position model. The record is from RNAcentral.